This 3367-nucleotide long non-coding RNA is filed under the name Sus scrofa (pig). Its description in RNAcentral is "lncRNA (ENSSSCG00000056641.1)". The record is from RNAcentral. Lineage: Eukaryota; Metazoa; Chordata; Mammalia; Artiodactyla; Suidae.
GGCAUAUGGAAGUUCCCAGACUAGGGGUGGAAUCAGAGCUACAGCUGUUGGCCUAUGCCACAGCCACAGCAACACCGGAUCCAGACCACUCCUGCAACCUAUGCCCCAGCUUAUGGCAAUGCCAGAUCCUUUAACCCACUGAUCAAGGCCAAGGAUGGAACCCUCAUCCUCAUGGACACUAUGUCAGGUUCUUAACCUGAUGCACCACAACGGGAACUCCAGUUUUAGAUUUCUAAAAAGGUAAGCACAUCCCAACACUUACAAAACAAUUCCUAUAAUAUUUUUGAUCAUUCUCAAAUAUCUGUCCGCCACAUAUUGUAAAUGGGCAGGAAGUUAGCUUCUCAGAAUGUAAAUACAAUCUGUGAUUUUCUAGUGUGUUUGCUAUUCUUAGUUAAGAAAAUUAAUUGCAGAGCCUUAAGAAUAAGAGACAUUUGUAAAUUUUGCUGGGGGUGAGGGCACAGGUUAGGUCAAAUGAUCAGAAAAAGAUUAUGUAGAGAUAUGCGUCAUAGAGAAUUAUUGCUAGGUCCACUCUAUAGUUCCCGAGGCAACUGAGUGGCUUAAAAGAAUGACUCUUCUAAUAACGAGGAGAAAGCCGAAAGAGGGAGAUGGUGAGCAAAUGAUUGGUGAGCACUGCCAUUUUGCAAGAGUAAGGUCUUUCCCAUAAAUCCUAGAGAUGCUGGCCUGCUCCCAGGUCAGAGGGUCAUGAUUCAAAUGGCCAGAGGAACUGCCGUGUCCACGUUAAAUGAUAGCCCUCCUUGCUACAGGCCUACGAGGAGAUGGCAUUGAAGGAAAAAUAUCAACUAUCACUACUGUCCUCUGUGCUCACAUUGCCUGCUCCUCUCUCCCGACGGUAAGGAGGUGAAGAUGAGAGGAUCGCAACUGUACGAAGUUGGCUGGUGAAUGAGAAGACCACCCAAGGGCUGCACAAAAGAUAAAGGAAAGUGUGUCUCUUUCACAGGUGGUUGCAAGGGCAUUCAUUUCAUCCCACUCUUGUGUCACAGGUAUUAGAACCCACCUCCCUGUUCAUAGUCAACCCAGACUAGCUCCUCCUCGCUGCUUUGGGCAAUGUCUGCUGAUGGAAAUAAAUUGCUGAUAAUCAGGAAAUUUUUUUUCUGAGUGUGAAAGUUAAUAUUAUAGGGUGCAUAUGGGCAGAGACUCGGGAAGUAGCAUUUGUGUUAGGGUGGUGAGAUCAGGAGACAAUUUGUUUUUAUAUUUUACAUUUCCAUGGAUAUGGCUAUACCAUGGUAUUAAUCAUAGAUACAGAAACGGGGGGGGGGGAGAGCAAUUUGGUAUAUAUAAAUUGAUCUGCAACAAAAUAACUUCCACACGUUGCUCUCCAUAAGCAAAGGGAAGUCCCUCUUAUAUGUGUUCUCUGGGAUCACCCAUGGGAAGGAUCUGAAUUUCUGACAGUCUUAAAUGUGACAGCAGCCUUUUAGCAUGGAGACGAGUACAGUAAUUUGGCAGCAAAUCCAAGACUCAUGCUCAGCAGACUGGUAGAUCGGAAAUAAAUCACAGAUGUCACACACAUGCUCUCUUAGAAGGGAGAGAAUUGAUAAGGUGCCAAACCCUAUCACUCCCAGACCGUUCUUGUUCCAAUUGAUAGAACCUCUCACCCUUGAAAUUCUGACAAGUACUAUUAGGGAAAGAGAUUCUAACUCAUAUCUCUUCCUGACUCUUUAUCCAUCUUUCCAAACAGUUUCUAUCUGAGCUCAGUCUCAGGCUCAUUUAAUUAUGACAUCUGAAUCAAUACUCCAUACUAGACCCAGCCUGCACCAGCUUGCUUGGCAGCUUCCAAUAGCCAUGACAGCCUUUCUGAAAAUGUUCAUUUUCCCAUUUUGAAAGGAAGGUAUCCGGCUUAACAUUAGGUAUCUUUAUUUAUUUUUAAUUUUUAAAACCAGUUGUUCCUUACAGGCCUAGCAAGAAUUAACACAUAUUUUAAAAAAAAAAAUGUUGCAUUUUCUGAAUUCAGAUUCACUUUCUGUCUCUGAAAUGUUAAGCUGCAGACGAGAGAAAUGGAAAUGAAGCCAAUAGCAAUUUAAAUAAAUUACAAGCUGACAACAACCUGCCUUGGUGAUGUUUUAAAUGAAAUGUAUUAACUGCAAAGAUAUCAGAAUGCUUUAGAAUAUCUUAAGAGACUUCAUUUUGUUACUGUGGUGGAUUUGCAGAUACCUGCAGAUAAAGGAACAUAAGCAUGAGGGAGGCUUAGAAAAAAAAUUGCACAAAAAUGAUGUGCUAAAUUUGGAGGCUGAUUUGGUGAAUAAACACGAUCAGUUAACAUGAAUCAAUGUUUUUUAAAUACAGAAUGUACAUCUAAAGAGGACUUCUGGCGGAAAAGCUCUCUCCAUGUUAUGUACAUAAUAUAUAGUUAUGGUUAUACACUAAGAGCAUCUAUAAUGGCCUUGAAUCAGAACACUUAGAGGCUUGUCCCUGCGAACCAAAUCUGUGAGUCUAGUACAGAUUAUCUGGGGUCAGAGUCAUCUUGCCUAUCAAAUAUUUGCAGAGAAAAGAGAACUCAGGAUAACAAACCUUGAAGUUUGAAAAGUCUGUGAUUAUAAGGACAUCUCAAUGGUGUGUGCUUGGGCCUUUAAAAUACUCAUUAGGAAUUUGGGGACACUUUCUACAAGGUAGAGGCCUCUGUGUGUCUGUAAGCUAUAGGCUUAUAUGUGCUGAUAGGUUAUAUAGGCCUAUAUGUAUAUAUGGGAUAAAGUCCUGAACAUGUGUCUAAGGUACAUAGAGGCCUCUGUAAGCCCACACACUUUUAGGUCAGCAUGUGUCUAUACAGCACAGGUUUCUAAGGGUCUUAAAAGUAUAAACCAGUAUGUGUCCAUAAAGUGUAGGCUUAUAUGUGUCUAUCCAGUACAGAGCCGUGUAUUUAUAAGAUAUAGGCCUCCAUGCGUCUAUAAGGUAGAGAACUUUUUGUGUCAAGAGGGUAUGAGCCAAUGUAUGUCUACGAGGCUUAGGCUUCUAUGUAUCGAAACAAGAUAAAGGUCUCGAAUGUCUUAAAAAUAUCUGCAUGUGGUCAAAGAAUUAGCUACAUUACCCUGAUAAGAUUCUUUCCAGUUUUGGGAAUAAACUCCCUAAUUUUACCAUGAGGAACAAAAGAGACACACAGACACAUACUCACUCACAGAUGUACUCACACACAUACACACACACACACACAAAUAAAAUGACUCCUCAGAAGUGUCAGGGAGAACUCUGUAUACAAUAUAGUUUAUCUAUGACUUAAGUCAUAAAAUACAGACAUUCAUAGGUAAGCUCUUUUAAUCAUGAGCAAUUUAAAUGUGAUUACAGAAAAUCUUUUAAAUGAUGCUUUGGGAGCCGUCACAUCAAAGUCAAUUGUUUGGUGACUGUUUUUAAUGCUCCU